UCGUAACAAAAGUUUCCGUAGGUGAACCAGCGGAGGGAUCAUUA
RNAcentral lists this ribosomal RNA (44 nucleotides) under Cordyceps takaomontana. RNAcentral describes it as "partial 18S ribosomal RNA". Lineage: Eukaryota; Fungi; Ascomycota; Sordariomycetes; Hypocreales; Cordycipitaceae. The record is from RNAcentral.